UACGUAGGGUGCAAGCGUUGUCCGGAAUUAUUGGGCGUAAAGAGCUCGUAGGCGGUCUGUCGCGUCGGAUGUGAAAAUCCAGGGCUUAACCCUGGGCCUGCAUUCGAUACGGGCAGACUAGAGUUCGGUAGGGGAGACUGGAAUUCCUGGUGUAGCGGUGAAAUGCGCAGAUAUCAGGAGGAACACCGGUGGCGAAGGCGGCUCUCUGGGACGGUACUGACGCUGAGACACGAAAGCGUGGGGAGCAAACAGG
Molecule: ribosomal RNA, 253 nt
Filed under: uncultured bacterium
Lineage: Bacteria
Description: partial 16S ribosomal RNA
Rfam family: Bacterial small subunit ribosomal RNA
Source: RNAcentral